AGAGUUUGAUCAUGGCUCAGAGCGAACGCUGGCGGCAGGCUUAACACAUGCAAGUCGAGCGGGUGUAGCAAUACAUCAGCGGCAGACGGGUGAGUAACGCGUGGGAACGUACCUUUUGGUUCGGAACAACCCAGGGAAACUUGGGCUAAUACCGGAUAAGCCCUUACGGGGAAAGAUUUAUCGCCGAAAGAUCGGCCCGCGUCUGAUUAGCUAGUUGGUGAGGUAAUGGCUCACCAAGGCGACGAUCAGUAGCUGGUCUGAGAGGAUGAUCAGCCACAUUGGGACUGAGACACGGCCCAAACUCCUACGGGAGGCAGCAGUGGGGAAUAUUGGACAAUGGGGGCAACCCUGAUCCAGCCAUGCCGCGUGAGUGAUGAAGGCCCUAGGGUUGUAAAGCUCUUUUGUGCGGGAAGAUAAUGACGGUACCGCAAGAAUAAGCCCCGGCUAACUUCGUGCCAGCAGCCGCGGUAAUACGAAGGGGGCUAGCGUUGCUCGGAAUCACUGGGCGUAAAGGGUGCGUAGGCGGGUCUUUAAGUCAGGGGUGAAAUCCUGGAGCUCAACUCCAGAACUGCCUUUGAUACUGAGGAUCUUGAGUCCGGGAGAGGUGAGUGGAACUGCGAGUGUAGAGGUGAAAUUCGUAGAUAUUCGCAAGAACACCAGUGGCGAAGGCGGCUCACUGGCCCGGUACUGACGCUGAGGCACGAAAGCGUGGGGAGCAAACAGGAUUAGAUACCCCAGUAGUCC
RNAcentral lists this ribosomal RNA (744 nucleotides) under uncultured bacterium. Its description in RNAcentral is "bacterial SSU rRNA". It matches the Rfam family "Bacterial small subunit ribosomal RNA", at positions 8 to 796 of the family's 1533-position model. The record is from RNAcentral.